UGUGAUGUGUUUGAUUUUAGUUAUUCUGUCAGCAUUACUGACAAUUUUAUUAGACUUAGGGCACGUUUGGUUCGCACUAUGAAAAAUUAUUAGGAGUAAAAAGAUAUUCGAUAAUCUUAUUUCUAUUCAUUCUAUUAUUAAGAAUGUGGCGUUCAUGUGUUUGGUUCGCACGGUCAUAUUAUUUAGUCAUGUUAUUUAAGUUUACAAAAAAUAUACAAUUAAUUAAUUUAUUUCUUUAAUUAAUUUUAGAUAAUGCUAUCAAAAAUUUCAACAUCUUUUUAAAAAAAAUGAAGAAAAAAUAUAGGUUAGAGAGAGAGAGAGAGCAUAAUUAAAUAAUAGGAAGAGAAAUAGAGUCGAGAUUAGAGAGAGUGAGGGAGUUGAAAUUUUAGAAAAAGAGAGGGAGAGAGAGCUUAGUUUAGAGAGAGAAAAAGAGUUGAAGGUUAGAGAGAAAAAAAUAAGUUUAGAGAGAGAUAUGAGGUUAGAGUGUAAAAGAUAAUAAUACUAACUAGCCGGCGGGUAGGGAGAAAGAAAGAUAUUAGACAUAUUAUGAUUACUCAAUUUAUUAAUAUGAGCAUACCCACUCUCCCGCAAGGGAAUGAGAUUAGUACUUUGGGAUGAAUCUGAUUCCCAAGUGAAUCUAAUAUUAUCAACUAGAUUACUUAGUGCCUUUAGCCAAACACCGUCAUAUCUUUUUAUUCCCAUUGCAUUACUAGGAAUCUUAAAAAGAUAGCGCGAACCAAACGCAUCCUUAUUGUAAAUCAGUUUGUAAUCUGAUCGUUAAUGUAGCAUUACAAAUAGUACAAGAUUAUUUCGAAAAUAUUAUCGAACAAGGAUGAGUAUCUUGUUUUAUUGACAAUAGAUUAUUUUACGUGUUAUGUCGGAAUAA
RNAcentral lists this long non-coding RNA (886 nucleotides) under Ananas comosus (pineapple). Its description in RNAcentral is "long non-coding RNA (ACOM_LNC044735)". Lineage: Eukaryota; Viridiplantae; Streptophyta; Magnoliopsida; Poales; Bromeliaceae. The record is from RNAcentral.